Molecule: non-coding RNA, 456 nt
Organism: Pelobates cultripes (western spadefoot toad)
Lineage: Eukaryota; Metazoa; Chordata; Amphibia; Anura; Pelobatidae
Source: the annotation of a GenBank genome assembly
CUCUAACAGCAUACAGUAAAUCCCCCCAAGAACGAGACAAGGCUCCGUUUUGAGGGUCAAGCAGUGAACAGUCAGAGCUGCGGGUUUAUUGUGCUUAUGUACACAUUCUUACACAUUAGUACCUCCCACAGGGUUUUGGAACACAACCAAUAAACACAUACAAUACACUCAGACACUCCCACACAAAAUCCUCCCCUCUGCCUGUGAUACAAUUACCUUACACAAUAGGUUUAUGUAAUUAUAACAAGCAGAGAAAUACAGUUUUACCACAUUAUUCAUAACUUGAAAAGUAUGCAUCACAUUCACAUAAAACUUACAUUUUCAGAAUCAAAAAAAGAACUCAAAAUACAAACAUAUGUCAAAAUCAUCCAAAUUGGUCCAUUGGUUCAAAAGAUAGAUCGAAGUCCUUUGUGAUCAAAUUAAGCAUGGGUUUUCUGCCCAAAACCAGUUCCACAG